RNAcentral lists this ribosomal RNA (508 nucleotides) under uncultured Glomus. RNAcentral's name for it is "SSU rRNA". It matches the Rfam family "Eukaryotic small subunit ribosomal RNA", at positions 569 to 1078 of the family's 1831-position model. The record is from RNAcentral. Lineage: Eukaryota; Fungi; Glomeromycota; Glomeromycetes; Glomerales; Glomeraceae.
AGCAGCCGCGGUAAUUCCAGCUCCAAUAGCGUAUAUUAAAGUUGUUGCAGUUAAAAAGCUCGUAGUUGAAUUUCGGGGUCAGUAGGUUGGUCGUGCCACUGGUAUGUACUGAUCACACUGAUUCCUCCUUCCUGAUGAGCUGUAAUGCCAUUAAUUUGGUGUUGCAGGGAAUCUGGACUGUUACUUUGAAAAAAUUAGAGUGUUUAAAGCAGGCUAACGCUUGAAUACAUUAGCAUGGAAUAAUGAAAUAGGACGUUCGAUCCUAUUUUGUUGGUUUCUAGGAUUGACGUAAUGAUUAAUAGGGAUAGUUGGGGGCAUUAGUAUUCAAUUGUCAGAGGUGAAAUUCUUGGAUUUAUUGAAGGCUAACUACUGCGAAAGCAUUUGCCAAGGAUGUUUUCAUUAAUCAAGAACGAAAGUUAGGGGAUCGAAGACGAUCAGAUACCGUCGUAGUCUUAACCAUAAACUAUGCCGACUAGGGAUCGGAUGAUGUUAAUUUUUUAAUGACUCA